Molecule: long non-coding RNA, 264 nt
Organism: Osmerus eperlanus (European smelt)
Lineage: Eukaryota; Metazoa; Chordata; Actinopteri; Osmeriformes; Osmeridae
Exons: 3
Source: RefSeq, a predicted model, not a curated record
UUUUUACCAAACAGGAGGACUGGACAUAUCUCUGCCCUCUGCUUGUGCAGUCAAACGGAGACGGCUGGACCACAGGCAAGCUAACGUCAGCGGACCGAGCUAGCUAGCAUGGAGGAAUUAGAUGAUGUGGCAGUGUCGAUUUUGAAGGCUGCAAACAUCAGUGAGGAAAUGAUGGGCACCUUGUCCCGUGAAGACUUGCGGGAUCUUUUCCCAGGGCCCGAGAAUUUCUUUAGGAGAAAAGCUGUGUGGCGUGUCUGCCAUGUU